Molecule: long non-coding RNA, 435 nt
Organism: Rosa chinensis
Lineage: Eukaryota; Viridiplantae; Streptophyta; Magnoliopsida; Rosales; Rosaceae
Exons: 3
Source: RefSeq, a predicted model, not a curated record
AUGUUGCUUCUAUUCACUAAAUCUGUGUUGUUUCUGCUCAUGUAUGACAAAUGAUGCUUAGUUCUUUCCUUAGGUGAAUUGGUCCAAGCUACUACCAAGGUAAAUACAAAAUGGAAAGGACUGCUAAAGUAUUACCUAUUAGACAUCGAUGAAGAGUUAGAAGUAAUAAUGAAAUCUGAAGAUAUGUGUUUGGAGUCUGCUAAGAAGUUCUCCCGUGUUUGAUAAGGUCAAGAAGCUGCAAAGGGACUGUCUAAGGAACCCUGUGAAUCACUGACGAAGCUUACAAGAGUAUCACUUCUAGUAGUGUAUAGUUUCUUAUAGAUGUAUUUUGAACUUGUAAAUUUAUUGUAUAAUACAUUUAAAAUACAAUACAAGAUCAUAUAUGCACCAAUUAUUUGGUGCAUUUUUUUUUAAUAUAGCCUACCAAUUUUGCCA